This 320-nucleotide ribosomal RNA is filed under the name uncultured bacterium. RNAcentral describes it as "bacterial SSU rRNA". It matches the Rfam family "Bacterial small subunit ribosomal RNA", at positions 28 to 334 of the family's 1533-position model. The record is from RNAcentral.
GAUGAACGCUAGCUAUAGGCUUAACACAUGCAAGUCGAGGGGCAGCAUGAACUUAGCUUGCUAAGUUUGAUGGCGACCGGCGCACGGGUGAGUAACACGUAGGUAACCUGCCCAUGUGCCCGGGAUAAUUUCUGGAAACGGAAACUAAAACCGGAUAGGUAGGGAUCUCGCAUGAGGACCUUAUUAAAGGGGCUACGGCCCUGAACAUGGAUGGACCUGCGGUGCAUUAGCUAGUUGGUGGGAUAACGGCCUACCAAGGCGACGAUGCAUAGCCGACCUGAGAGGGCGAACGGCCACAUUGGGACUGAGACACGGCCCAA